UGAGAAUUGAAAACAGAUUCGAGCUUUUGAAGUUCUUAAAAUGAACAACAAAUGGAGUCAAUACCUUUACGGAGGUGUGUAAACGUUCCAUGUAGCUGUAACGAAAUUGAAUUUUGAUCAUUAGGGUGCAUCGUACUCACAACAAUUUAGAUAGGUGGAAUGGAUAGAGAUGAAAUUUUCAAUUUUGAAAAGCUUUCUUUGUAGAUUUUGUGGUCCGAUUUUGUGUAUGGAUCUAGCAUUUUUUUUGAACUUCCAAAAAUCCACCAGCAAACAAAGUGGUGAUAUUUAAAAUUGGACAUAAACACCCAAAAUCGGAAGGUAUUUAUCUAAUCUAUCAGACAUGCUAAACUAAACUACUACGCGUACGAUGCGCCCUAUUGAUCAUUUCUAAGCAUGAAAACAUGGCCGACGCAAUCAUUUUACGCUGUAGUUGAUACCCGUUGCAACGUUAGACGGUACGCAGUGCUUCGCAUUCUGUCUCUACAAAAAAUUUUCGGCCAGAAUGAAUGUGAUGCGAUAAAUUUUUACAUAGCCCAAAAUGACAUUGACAACGAUUAGUAAAUGUAGCUCUGCCUGCAGGCUGCAAUUAUACCAUUGUUUUACCUGUAUGCAUAUGUGAAAUGUGCUUGUUACAUGACCGACUGAUGCAUAUAAUCUGAACAAUUUUUUUGUCGUCUUAUUGCUUGUUCGUCGUUUUGCGAGAUACUCCCAGAAUUUACACGAAACGCUUUUAUUUUGUAUGACAUAAAAUACAUUUAUGGGCACAUUGUACCAAUAAAUUUCAUCUCUUUGAACUUAUUUUCAGCCAUCACCUGUCUGCACACAUACACGCUUAACUAUGAAAAUAUUAUAUGAUAUGGAACGCAUAGGUUCUAUUUUAGCGAACGAAAAAAAAAAUAUCUAACACUGAGUGACAACUACGUUUAUGUUAUCCCAACCUGAAAAGAGAAUGAAUGAAAACAGGAAGAAAGGUUGCGAUCAACUUGAAAAAAAAAAAAAUCUGUAUCGAGAGUGUCUCAUUGUGCUGGUGAACAUGGAUGAGUGUGGAGACAAGAAAUAUAAUCGUCAUCAGCAUCAUCGCUGUGGGCGGCUAUCACAAAACAGCCGUGAUGUUUUUAUUAUGUUUCAGAUUAUGCAAUCCAUUUCAUACGAUAUCGCGUUCAUCAAGGUGCUCGCGGAAGUGUCCUGCUUGCCAUUGCCACCGUUUAACAUUUGUACCUAUAAUACGCUGGGCGAAAUACUGCCGGAACGAAACAUGUUUUUUUUAAAUUUUUUUAACUCAUGGAGAAAAGGAAGAAAAAGAUGCGCGAUGAGCGAUGAGCGAAAUGUAAUAGGAAUAGAUGUAGAAGAACAUUGCGACGAACGACGAGAAGCGAGGGAAAAAAGGGAAAACGGUAAUAAAAACGCACGUUGACACGAUAUUAAUUUCCCAUUGUGUUUGUGUGUAUUACGGUAGUCAAAGCCAAGACACACGUGUGCAAACACAUUUCUAUUAUCUAUGCCAUUUUAUACAUACAUGCGCUAAAUUACGGUGACAACUCACAACGAUUACAUCUAUAAUUUUAUUACGAUCACUCCAUGAAAUAUGUACGUUUUGUAUGGUUUUGUUCUUGAAUGCUUUCCAAAAUGUUGGCACACAUUUCACAUACCAUGAUGGGGAUGCUGUUCGGUGUAUUCUUCCCUUUCUCUCUCUUUCCCUCUGUACAUGCAAUGUGAUAUGCAGUGUCGGUGAUGAUGACGACAACAACGGCGGCGGUGGCAACGAUGAUGACGAUGCCAAUGUAAAUUCACUAUGUCACAAGACCGUGCUUAGCACUAUAUGGAGUAGCAAUGGAACAGAAAGAAUAGAUGACAAAAGCCCAUAGCUAAUGCGUACACGAUAACAAAAAUAUGAAUGUAAAAUGGAAAUCAAGAACAUGAGCAAAUUCAUUUCAAUGUAUGCAAAUGGAAUCAACUUUUCAGCUCUCUUUUUACCGUACAACGAUUGAUAGACAUUACACGUCCUUACAAAAAGAUAUCGACGCACAACAGGCAAUUGAAUAUGCUGGAAACUUUAACGAAUUUCAAUGGUUUAUCACUUUUCUAGGUACAUAAAAAUGAGUUAUCUUCAAAAUGCAUCCCAUAGACCAUAGCUACAAAAUCAAAUAAUUCCCAAAAAUCAUUAUCGCAAAGAUUUAUUGUCGAAUGAAAAGAAAAAAAUUCAAGUUUUCAGCAUUUCUUUCGCGUGCAUGCAUAAUGUACUAAAAUUUAUAUGUUCCAAAAAAUGUACGGAAGAAUAUCGAUAUAUGAGAAAUGAAAUUGGCCUGAUAAUCGAAAAUGUCACUUCGAACAAUAAAUAAGAUUGAUGAAACUA
Molecule: long non-coding RNA, 2353 nt
Organism: Sitodiplosis mosellana (orange wheat blossom midge)
Lineage: Eukaryota; Metazoa; Arthropoda; Insecta; Diptera; Cecidomyiidae
Exons: 2
Source: RefSeq, a predicted model, not a curated record